ACGAUGGCAAUGGGUGAUACGCAACUGUGAGAAGCUGGAGGACAGAUCAAGGCAUUGGGAGAUAAUUGCAUGUGCAUCCCAUGGAAUAAGGUCUGAGUUUUCCAUAGCUUUAACCAAAGUCAGAUUGUCUGACUCUAACUCAAGGGGAUAAUGUCUUCGAGGGAAGAACUUUAGGGUUUCCAAGAGAGCCACAAAUUCUGCUUGAGAGGCUGAGGAGACAUGGAUUUGUUUUGCAAAGCCAUCGACAAGUGUCUCCUUUGAGUUUCGAACGAUGCAAGCGAUUACGCCUUCCAUGGAGCUUUUGACGAAGGAUCCAUCAAUAUUGACCUUUAAAGAUCUGCCCUUUGGGGGUUUCCAGAUCUCAGAAGAGGUGGGUGUGUCAAGGUCCGAUUUUUGCUUUGAAUUCCAUCUCCUGUAAUUGCUGAGAGAAGUUAGAGCUCCUUGUAGUGCUUGAAUUGGGUCUGGGAGUUUCUUUCGAAAGAUAAAUGUGUUGCGAUAAGUCCAAAUAAACCAGAAGAUGAUUGCAACAAGUUCCAAAGAAGGGACAAAGAAGAAGGAGAUGCUCUGUGGAUUCCACUUGGUCUUUACACAGUGAGCAUAAUGGAUAUGAUCUUAUUCCACAAAGCUCGAGGAGCCGAGAAAGAUGAGGAGGCCUUUGGAGCUUUUCGGAUAUUCUCAGCCAUGAGCAUCUAUUCUCACUUCUUUCACCUGGCCUGCUGAGCUAACUAGAGAUUCUACUACUUCCAAGGAAAACCAUCCGAUUGGCAAACCAAGUAUUCGAAUCCAGAAGAGAAGAGCCAAUCGAGCUGAGGCCUCAUCAUCAUCUUCCAUUUCUGAAAGAUUGGUACCUUGAUAAUUGAUUUGAAGGCAAGUAUAGAAAUGGGGAAGAGGGUAGCGGCUAGGGUUUUUUGGGAAGUGACAUCAAAACCCUAAAUGAAAAAAGGGAGGAGAGAAGAAAUGAAGCACCAAAAGCUGCAUGCGAAUUCAUGGUGAUGAUUGAGCAAACCAGUAGGGAUUUUGUUAGGGUUUGUAAGUUGAGGGAGCCAUUGCUACACAGACGGUAGAGGAGAGCUACACAAUCGGUAGAGGAGAGCUACACAGUCGGUAGAUGUAGAGUAGUUCACAGUCACUAUGAUCCUUUUCUAAGUGCAUAGUAAUUCGUAGAUCAAGGUGGUGAAUCGGAACAAUUGUGUAAUUCAGGUGAGUGACCCAGUGUACUUAGUCCCAUGGGCAUGAAUUUCUUUUACGAGCGUUAAAUUUACCUAUGUAUGUACAAUGACCAAUCUAUUUAACAUCUAUACUGUAAAGUGUAGUGCAAGAAUUUAUUCAGGCUAUCCCUGAAUGAGAACUAACGCACAUGCAAUCUCGAAUGACCAUGUUUUUAAUUAUUCAUUAAUUAACGAAAGCAAUAGCAAUUCAUCCUUCGAAUAUGUAGUAAUUUGCAGGGCAUGCGGUGGCAACUCUUGUCCAAGAUGGACUUUC
Molecule: long non-coding RNA, 1482 nt
Organism: Syzygium oleosum
Lineage: Eukaryota; Viridiplantae; Streptophyta; Magnoliopsida; Myrtales; Myrtaceae
Exons: 5
Source: RefSeq, a predicted model, not a curated record